This 423-nucleotide ribosomal RNA is filed under the name uncultured Alphaproteobacteria bacterium. RNAcentral's name for it is "bacterial SSU rRNA". It matches the Rfam family "Bacterial small subunit ribosomal RNA", at positions 39 to 496 of the family's 1533-position model. The record is from RNAcentral. Lineage: Bacteria; Pseudomonadati; Pseudomonadota; Alphaproteobacteria.
GCUGCAUGCUUUAUACAUGCAAGUCGAACGGAGGCCCUAGCUUGCUAGGUGUCCUUAGUGGCGCACGGGUGAGUAACACGUGGGAACAUACCUUAUAGUACGGAAUAACUGCGGGAAACUGUAGCUAAUACCGUAUACUCCAGUAAUGGGAAAGAUUUAUCGCUAUAAGAUUGGCCCGCGCAAGAUUAGCUUGUUGGUGAGGUAAAAGCUCACCAAGGCUUCGAUCUUUAGCUGGUUUGAGAGGACGAUCAGCCACACUGGGACUGAGACACGGCCCAGACUCCUACGGGAGGCAGCAGUAGGGAAUAUUGGACAAUGGGGGCAACCCUGAUCCAGCAAUGCAGCGUGAGUGACGAAGGCCUUAGGGUUGUAAAACUCUUUCAUCGGUGAGGAUAAUGACAGUAGCCGAAGAAGAAGGACCGG